This 72-nucleotide transfer RNA is filed under the name Heterocephalus glaber (naked mole-rat). It matches the Rfam family "tRNA". Rfam says of the family: Transfer RNA (tRNA) molecules are approximately 80 nucleotides in length. Their secondary structure includes four short double-helical elements and three loops (D, anti-codon, and T loops). Lineage: Eukaryota; Metazoa; Chordata; Mammalia; Rodentia; Bathyergidae. The record is from Rfam by way of RNAcentral.
UGGGGUAUAGCUCAGUAGUAGAGCACUUGCCUAGCAUGUGCAGGGCCCUGGGUUCCAUCCCCAGCACCACAA